Molecule: long non-coding RNA, 970 nt
Organism: Brachypodium distachyon (stiff brome)
Lineage: Eukaryota; Viridiplantae; Streptophyta; Magnoliopsida; Poales; Poaceae
Exons: 2
Source: RefSeq, a predicted model, not a curated record
CUUAUCCCGUCCUUCCUCCUACCUCAUUUCUCCCCAGAAAUUCUCCGCCUCAGCCCGUCUCUUCUCUGUCUCUGGCGACUUCCUCUUUGGCGGUGUGGUUCUCGGCGGCGCGGGUUGACGGAGAAGAGGGGCGCGGGCGAAGGGAGCGUGGUCGACGGGGUGGGUAGGUUGCCGAGGAGCUCGAGAUGACCGUCGAUUUCUUGCCGCGGCGUGGGGCACCCUGCGGCGAUACAAGGGUUGCGGUCAGUCGGCACGGGGGAGGGCAUCUGCAUGCUGCACGACGCAUUGCUGUGGGUUGAACGAACAUGGUUCGACUGCUGAUUCAAGAGCGGCGGCUGCAUCAACCACGGUGGGUGCGAAACGAGCUCGACAGGCGCAACGAACACAUCGUUUUCACCCAAUUUCACAGUUAGUCCCCUCUCCCAACCUGCUAUCUACGCAUGCAUAUACGACACGGGGGCUUCUGCAUGUUGCAGGGCAAGGUGGCGUGGGAUGCGCGAAGGCGAUAUGAUUGUUGAAUCUGGGCACGGCAGGGCGCAACGAAUUCGGCGGGCACAUCACCGGGGAGCACGGCGGCGGAUCGAGGACGGCGAGUGCAUCGAGCAUGGCGGGGAGCAUCUGCUCCUUCAUCAGAGUUAUCAUGGUGUUUUUAUCAGGGAUUUUGUACAGAUGAUAAGAGUAACAAGAAGCAAGAUGGACUACACGACAAGAAACAAUGUUCGUAAUAAUACAUCAGUAUAUGUGUUUUUGGGUGUUCUUUUUGCCAAGGAACAAAGUAGUGGGGGCACACAACAUGUGGCAGCAAGUCCCCAUUAUGUAGUAAUGUUUGUUCUUUGUAGCUUCCAGCAAAGGGAGAGGGUGGAUGGACAGUCCAGAAAAUGCCUUGGUUUUGUAGUAAACAAUCAAAGCACCUUAAUAUGCAUCUUUUAUUUGCCCAUCAAAGGGUUUGCAAUACUUAAUUUGCUCCUAA